UACGAAGGGGGCUAGCGUUGUUCGGAAUUACUGGGCGUAAAGCGCACGUAGGCGGAUAUUUAAGUCAGGGGUGAAAUCCCAGAGCUCAACUCUGGAACUGCCUUUGAUGCUGGGUAUCUCGAGUAUGGAAGAGGUGAGUGGAAUUCCGAGUGUAGAGGUGAAAUUCGUAGAUAUUCGGAGGAACACCAGUGGCGAAGGCGGCUCACUGGUCCAUUACUGACGCGGAGGUGCGAAAGCGUGGGGAGCAAACAGG
Molecule: ribosomal RNA, 253 nt
Filed under: uncultured bacterium
Lineage: Bacteria
Description: partial 16S ribosomal RNA
Rfam family: Bacterial small subunit ribosomal RNA
Source: RNAcentral